UACGUAGGGACCGAGCGUUGUCCGGAAUCAUUGGGCGUAAAGAGCGUGUAGGCGGCCACUUAAGUCCUGCGUGAAAUCUUGCGGCUCAACCGCAAGCGGUCGUGGGAAACUGGGUGGCUAGAGUGCGGGAGAGGAGAGUGGAAUUCCUGGUGUAGCGGUGGAAUGCGCAGAUAUCAUGAGGAAUACCAGAGGCGAAGGCGGCUACCUGGACAAUUGCUGACGCUCAGGCACGAAAGCGUGGGGAGCAAAAGGG
This 253-nucleotide ribosomal RNA is filed under the name uncultured prokaryote. RNAcentral's name for it is "partial 16S ribosomal RNA". It matches the Rfam family "Bacterial small subunit ribosomal RNA", at positions 524 to 776 of the family's 1533-position model. The record is from RNAcentral.